Molecule: long non-coding RNA, 499 nt
Organism: Cygnus olor (mute swan)
Lineage: Eukaryota; Metazoa; Chordata; Aves; Anseriformes; Anatidae
Exons: 3
Source: RefSeq, a predicted model, not a curated record
AGUGAACUCUAUCCCAGCUGAAACCAGGACAGCCUCGUGCACCUCCCAGUGUUCUUCUACCAUCUCCUCAAAAGCAUCCCUGAGUGUGCAUUUUACGGAAUCCUGCUUCUGACAACAAUGAAGUUCAUGCCGUGACCUUCCAAAGGUUUGAGCCCUUCAGGGAUGCCCCCGGCCUGCGGGCGUGAAGAGAUGGCAAGUGGGAGUUGGUAGGAUGCUGCAAUACACAAGGACACGGAGGCUUUCUUUGCUGAAAAGUUUUCUUUAUUACACAGGGCCACAGACCACCACUAGGCAAUAUUCUGUGAUUCAAGGCAAGCAUGGAGAGAGGUAUGAGGCUAAUUAAGAAAAACCAUCUCGGAAGAGACCGAACCCAGGAGUGGGCCAAGGAGUGGCCCCUAAGGUAUCAAGAAUAAAGUGUCACUUCAAAUACCUGAGACUCCCAUCAAGUCAGUGCUGCCAUCAGGGGCACCCCGAGACCCUUCUGAUGUCACCCUAUGGC